Molecule: microRNA precursor, 144 nt
Filed under: Medicago truncatula (barrel medic)
Lineage: Eukaryota; Viridiplantae; Streptophyta; Magnoliopsida; Fabales; Fabaceae
Description: miR164b stem-loop (mtr-MIR164b)
Gene: mtr-MIR164b
Rfam family: MIR164 microRNA precursor family
Source: miRBase by way of RNAcentral
CAAGAUGGAGAAGCAGGGCACGUGCAAUACUAACUCAUGAACAUACACACAUGAUGGAAGUGAAUACAAAGAGAAUCUACAUUCUCUUAUGUUUCAUUUUUUUAAUUGAGUUAGUUCUUCAUGUGCCCCUCUUCCCCAUCAUGA